AUUGAACGCUGGCGGCAUGCCUUACACAUGCAAGUCGAACGGCAGCACGGGAGCAAUCCUGGUGGCGAGUGGCGAACGGGUGAGUAAUAUAUCGGAACGUGCCCGGUCGUGGGGGAUAACGUAGCGAAAGCUACGCUAAUACCGCAUACGAUCUACGGAUGAAAGCGGGGGAUCGCAAGACCUCGCGCGAUUGGAGCGGCCGAUAUCAGAUUAGGUAGUUGGUGAGGUAAAGGCUCACCAAGCCGACGAUCUGUAGCUGGUCUGAGAGGACGACCAGCCACACUGGGACUGAGACACGGCCCAGACUCCUACGGGAGGCAGCAGUGGGGAAUUUUGGACAAUGGGCGCAAGCCUGAUCCAGCAAUGCCGCGUGCAGGAUGAAGGCCUCGGUGUAAC
Molecule: ribosomal RNA, 396 nt
Filed under: uncultured bacterium
Lineage: Bacteria
Description: bacterial SSU rRNA
Rfam family: Bacterial small subunit ribosomal RNA
Source: RNAcentral